AAACCAACCGGGAUUGCCUUMGUAACGGCGAGUGAAGCGGCAAAAGCUCAAAUUUGAAAUCUGGUACCUUCGGUGCCCGAGUUGUAAUUUGUAGAAGGUAACUUUGGGGCUGGUCCUUGUCUAUGUUCCUUGGAACAGGACGUCAUAGAGGGUGAGAAUCCCGUGUGGCGAGGAUCCCAGUUCUUUGUAAAGUGCUUUCGAAGAGUCGAGUUGUUUGGGAAUGCAGCUCUAAGUGGGUGGUAAAUUCCAUCUAAAGCUAAAUAUUGGCGAGAGACCGAUAGCGAACAAGUACAGUGAUGGAAAGAUGAAAAGAACUUUGAAAAGAGAGUGAAAAAGUACGUGAAAUUGUUGAAAGGGAAGGGCAUUUGAUCAGACAUGGUGUUUUGCGCCCUCUGCUCCUUGUGGGUGGGGGAAUCUCGCAGCUCACUGGGCCAGCAUCAGUUUUGGCGGCAGGAUAAAUCUGCAGGAAUGUAGCUUGCCUCGGUAAGUGUUAUAUCCUGUAGAAAUACUGCCAGCUGGGACUGAGGACUGCGACUUUACGUCAAGGAUGCUGGCAUAAUGGUUAUAUGCCGC
RNAcentral lists this ribosomal RNA (573 nucleotides) under [Candida] sp. IFO 11089. Its description in RNAcentral is "eukaryotic LSU rRNA". It matches the Rfam family "Eukaryotic large subunit ribosomal RNA", at positions 62 to 648 of the family's 3401-position model. Lineage: Eukaryota; Fungi; Ascomycota; Saccharomycetes; Saccharomycetales. The record is from RNAcentral.